ACUCAAAGGAAUAGACGGGGGCCCGCACAAGCGGCGGAGCAUGCGGAUUAAUUCGAUGCAACGCGAAGAACCUUACCAAGGCUUGACAUGGGGUGAAAACUCGCAGAGAUGCGGGGUCCGCAAGGGCGCCUCACAGGUGGUGCAUGGUUGUCGUCAGCUCGUGUCGUGAGAUGUUGGGUUAAGUCCCGCAACGAGCGCAACCCUCGUUCUAUGUUGCCAGCACGUGAUGGUGGGGACUCAUAGGAGACUGCCGGGGUCAACUCGGAGGAAGGUGGGGACGACGUCAAAUCAUCAUGCCCCUUAUGUCUUGGGCUUCACGCAUGCUACAAUGGCCAGUACAAAGGGCUGCGAGACCGUGAGGUGGAGCGAAUCCCAAAAAGCUGGUCUCAGUUCGGAUCGGGGUCUGCAACUCGACCCCGUGAAGUCGGAGUCGCUAGUAAUCGCAGAUCAGCAACGCUGCGGUGAAUACGUUCCCGGGCCUUGUACACACCGCCCGU
This 497-nucleotide ribosomal RNA is filed under the name uncultured bacterium. Its description in RNAcentral is "partial 16S ribosomal RNA". It matches the Rfam family "Bacterial small subunit ribosomal RNA", at positions 899 to 1397 of the family's 1533-position model. The record is from RNAcentral.